GUCUCAGUAUAAGCUUUUGAUUUGUGAAACUGCAAAUGGCUCAUUAAAACAGUUAUAAUGCAUUUGACAAUUGCUCCUACAUGGAUAUCUGUGGAAAUUCUAUAGUUAAUACAUGCACUGAAAACCUAUCUUGGGGGAAAGGUUGUGGUCGUUGGUUGCAGAACCAAUUCAAGCAUUGCUUGUAUAUUUGAUUGAAUCGCAAUGACAAAAUGAAUUACAUGGCAACAGCUGGUAAUAAUUCAUGCCAGUUUCUGACCUAUCAGCUUUCGACGGUAAGGUAUUGGCUUACCGUGGCAAUGACAGGUGACGGAGGAUUAGGGUUUGAUUCCGGAGAGGGAGCUUGAGAAAUGGCUACCACAUCUAAGGAAGGCAGCAGGCGCGCAAAUUACCCAAUCCUGGCACAGGGAGGUAGUGACAAGAAAUAACAAUACAAGGCAUCCAUGUCUUGUAC
Molecule: ribosomal RNA, 451 nt
Filed under: Alexandrium pacificum
Lineage: Eukaryota; Dinophyceae; Gonyaulacales; Pyrocystaceae
Description: SSU rRNA
Rfam family: Eukaryotic small subunit ribosomal RNA
Source: RNAcentral